UGCGUAGGUGGGCAGGUAAGUCAGUGGUGAAAUCUCCGGGCUUAACUCGGAAACUGCCAUUGAUACUAUCUGUCUUGAAUACCGUGGAGGUCAGCGGAAUAUGUCAUGUAGCGGUGAAAUGCUUAGAUAUGACAUAGAACACCAAUUGCGAAGGCAGCUGGCUACACGAAUAUUGACACUGAUGCACGAAAGCGUGGGGAUCAAACAGGAUUAGAUACCCUGGUAGUCCACGCCCUAAACGAUGGAUACUCGACAUACGCGAUAUACUGUGUGUCUGAGCGAAAGCAUUAAGUAUCCCACCUGGGAAGUACGAUCGCAAGAUUGAA
RNAcentral lists this ribosomal RNA (326 nucleotides) under uncultured bacterium. RNAcentral's name for it is "bacterial SSU rRNA". It matches the Rfam family "Bacterial small subunit ribosomal RNA", at positions 568 to 898 of the family's 1533-position model. The record is from RNAcentral.